CAGUCGCCGCGGUAAUACGAAGGGAGCGAGCGUUGUUCGGAAUCACUGGGCUUAAAGCGUGCGUAGGCGGAAGUGUAAGUCAGAAGUGAAAGCCCAGGGCUCAACCUUGGAAUUGCUUUUGAGACUGCAUUUCUAGAAUUCGGUAGAGGCUAGUGGAAUGUCCAGUGUAGAGGUAAAAUUCGCAGAUAUUGGACGGAACACCAGUGGCGAAGGCGACUAGCUGGGCCGAUAUUGACGCUGAGGCACGAAAGCGUGGGUAGCAAACAGGAUUAGAUACCCGGGUAGUCCCUGUCUCUUAUAC
RNAcentral lists this ribosomal RNA (301 nucleotides) under uncultured bacterium. Its description in RNAcentral is "partial 16S ribosomal RNA". It matches the Rfam family "Bacterial small subunit ribosomal RNA", at positions 509 to 807 of the family's 1533-position model. The record is from RNAcentral.